Molecule: long non-coding RNA, 1356 nt
Filed under: Cyanistes caeruleus (blue tit)
Lineage: Eukaryota; Metazoa; Chordata; Aves; Passeriformes; Paridae
Description: lncRNA (ENSCCEG00000018527.1)
Source: RNAcentral
CCCGGCGCCGGUUCCGCUUGCUCUCCCGGGACUUGGAGCGCUUCCUUGCCCGCUCCUUUUCUCGGGAGCGGGACCGCGAUCGGCUCCGGUUCUUCUUGUUGUGCUUGGAGCUCUUGGUGUGCUUGGAGCGGGACGAGCUCCGGCUGCGGGACCGACCCAUCCCGACAGAGGAGAGGCCGCGCCGGCGACCGCUCGACCACCCCCGCCCCCUUUGCUAGCGGCGCCCGGGAGAGGUGCGAGGAGUCUCUGCGCGCAUCAGCACCUCCCGGGCUGGCCCUUCGUCUUCUCUCGUUCCUCCGCUUUGCGCUGCGAGGAGAAGGAACAGGCCCCGGGAGCAGGACCGAGUCCGGACGCAGCCAAGAUGGCGGCCCUCGCUGAGCAGUGACUCUCCUCUCCCGCCCCACAAUGCACCGCGCCGUGCUCGAGCCGUUCGCUCCCCNNNNNNNNNNNNNNNNNNNNCCAAUGGCGAGCGCCGCGCCGAGCGGGGCCCUCGGCCGCGGUGGCGGCGAGCGCGCCGGCUGAGAGGGUCGCCUCAGAGAGAAUUGCUGUGUUUCUUUUAAUUGAAAGUUCUCUCAAACGUUGAUUGUUUUCUUUUUGUUUUGUUGCGGGGAAGAGAUGGAAUUAUCACUGCAGAUCACGGAAGUUGCGAAAAACACUUAGAGCCCCCACUAAAUGGUCAAGUAACAGCAGAGUAAUGGACAUGGUGAAACCUGCACGGCAGGAAUUCCAGUGCCAAAGGCCCAGGGCACUCUUGUUUGUCCCUAGCCUUGGGGAAGCUCAUGCAACAGCUCUUUGGAGUUCUGAGCUGCUAAGCUGCAGAGGUAGGGAGAUGAAACACCCUGGCAGAACUGGAGACUGGCAGAACAGCUGUGAGGAAGGCAUGGCAGGAGCAUGGAACAGUUGUCAGAAAGAAAAAUACCCUUUCUAAGACUUGAGAGAAUAUGUCACUAAAGCUCUGCUUCAAAGGACUGUUAAAAAAGGGAAAACACUUUAAUUGAAAGAAUGUAGAGGAAAUGCUGUAAAAUGAGAAAUUAAGUAAAUGGGAGAGAGUUUUCACAUUGUACCUAUACAGGAAAGUUGAGUAGAUUGUAUGCAUAAGUAUAGUUAUUAGGUAAAAUAACUAUUUUCCUGUUUUCCAUAUGCUCAGAUGAUAAUCAUGUCCUUGGAAAUAAGCAAUACUGUACAGAAUACUGUUGAAAGUGUUUGGUAAUUUGAAUAUGCAAAAAGGCACAGCUUGAGUAAUCAGGACUAGUGUGUGUGUAUAUAUGAUAUUCAAAUUAAUUUAAAACAAUAUCUAGUUUCUUUCCCAUGUGGAUUUAAUUUUAGAAAAGAAAUAAAAUGGCCAAGCUAUGAUCA